Chrysemys picta bellii (western painted turtle) is the source of this 3538-nucleotide non-coding RNA. Lineage: Eukaryota; Metazoa; Chordata; Testudines; Emydidae. The record is from RefSeq and is a predicted model, not a curated record.
UUUCCCGCCCGCUCUGCGCUCACUCGUCUUCUGUUCUGCUGCGCAGAGCGCCGCUGUGUCGCUGAGCGCAGUGGUGCAUUGGAGGACACUGGUCGGGAUCUCUGUCGCUCGCGAAUGCGGCACAGCACGCACGAGAGGACUGGUGCGGUGCGAGACAGAUGUCAUUUCCCCCCUUUCUCCCCACUCCUGCAUGCUUGCUUUUGGAUCCACCACCAGCGUAGAGAUUGGACUCUGUUUUACAGAAAUGUAAUCAAUUCAAUUCCUACCAACAAGUCAGAAUCAGAAUUCUGCUUAUUCCCCACUUUGAACUCUUGGUUCCACAGAGGAACAGAUGUGCCUGAGCCCACUAGGGUACCAUAGAACACAUUCAAAGGAUGUAGGGAUGAGAUUCUGUCUUCUCCCCCCUGCAUCCUUGAGAAUUCAAAAAUAAGACUGUUCUGCUCUGCAAAACUAGCAGAACUAACUCUGGAACCCAUAGACGUGUGCCAGGUGUGCUCAGGCACACCCUAAUGCAGGGCAGAGCUCUAGGGGGGCGGGGCAGUGUGUCUGGCUCCGCGCUGAGCCAAACGCUGCUAGGAGCCUCAUGGUUAGGGGGGCUAGGGGGUUGGAUAAGGGGCGGGGGCAGUAAGAGGACAGGGAGCAGGGUGGGUUGGAUACAUAGGCGGUGAGAUGGGCCGUGGUGCCCAUUCUCCACAGUUCAGCAACGUGGGGUGGGGCGCUCUCACCUCGGGGGCAGCUCCCCCAUCCCCGGCGUCCCCGCAGGCAGCGAAGAGUCUCGGCAGAGGCAGGGAAGCUCUGAACGCUGCCUCCGUCCCCUCUCCCAGAGCUGACCUGGUUCCCAGCCCAUUGGGAGCUGUGGGGGAGGAGGUUGCCAGAGCUGCCUGACCGCACCUCCCCAGCAGGGAGGGGGAGGGAGCUGCAGGCAGAGAGCAGCAGGAGUCUGUCACUGUCAUACACAGAUGGGGGGGGGGAGGCAUUGUGGGGGCAGACAAACAGAUGGAGCUGGGGGCAGGAGAAAGGAGCAGCGAUGCACCCUGGGGCUGGCAUAAAAUACACAGUACAGAGGGGGCUUCCUUGGGGGGAUGGGGGGAGGUAGGUAUAGCAACACUCCCUUCCCUCACAGACCAGACUUGGGCUGCAGCUGGCUCUGUCAAUCACUCCUCCUCCCCCCCCCCCCCCAACCCACACAGAGACCCACACAACCCUCUGCCCCCCGGAAGAUCCCCUCCAGCCCCUAUGCCUCCAUCACCCCCUCCAGAGAGCCCCCCUUUGUGCCUCCCGAGACAGCUCCCCUACCUCCCCUGCUCCCUACAAUCUUCCCCUUUGCCUUCCCCCUCCUGCCCCCAGCUCAUUGGCCAGGAGGCUUCCAGACUGUUGGCCACCAAGGCCAAUGGGAGCUGCACCUGAGGUAGGGGGCCUGCUUGCAGAUGCAGACCUGCCCGGCUGUGCCUCCAGCUGCACGGGGAGGGGGAGCCACAGGGCAAGCAGGCUUCUCUGUCUAAACAAGAAGAACGGUGCCAUAACCGAAGUGUAAUGGAGCAACUGAUUGACAUUGUUCUGUGUUUGGUGAAAGAUGGGAGACCAUUCAGGGGUCACAAUGAAAAAGCUGACAGUUUUGAGAGAGAUUUAUUUCUAAAUCUUGUCAAUAUGCUCCAAAAAUAUGAUCCUGUAAUGGCAAAGGAUGUGCAACAAUCUCCUCGAAACACUACCUAUCUGAGUAAUCGCAUCCAAAAUGAAUUAAUUGUGGCCUUGCACAACGUUGUGCAACAAAAGAUUGCAUCUUCACUAAAUGGAAAAAUGGUCUCAAUAAUUGCAAACGACACUACUGACUGUGGACACCAUGAACAGAUGUCCGUUGUGAUGCAGUAUUUUUGACAAUGAAAAACAUAGUCCAGUUGAACAUUUUGUGUCUGUUCAGAGACUAUUAACAGUUGAUGCUCAGUCUAUUUUUGACCAGUUAAAUGACGUCCUUGUCAUUCUUAAAAUUGACUGGUCAUCAGUGAUGUCCGUCUGUUUUGAUGGCGCAUCUACUAUGUCUGGAUGUACUGCGGGAGUUCAAAUGAAAUGUAAAGAAAGAAACAGUGAAAUACUCUAUGUACACUGCUAUGCGCAUUGUUUGAACCUCAUCCUAGUAGAUGCAUGCACUUCAAGUAAACAAAACAGAGCUGUCUUGAUUUUUUUUUGGUGUUAUUCAGACUCUUUAUGCCUUCGUGGAGGGGAAUCCUGUGCGACAUGCAGUAAUGGAGAAGAUUUCACAAGAAGUAGGAUCCCAGUUGAAGACUUUGAAGUCACUAUCAAACACAAGAUGGGCAUGCAGAGCAGAAGCAGUGGCUGCUGUAAAACAAAACUACUCCAUCAUUUUACAAGCUUUACAAGAGAUUAUUGAAACAACUCGCCUUGCUGACCCUAAAAUAAAAGCCAGGGGCCUUAUCCAUGAACUAAAUUCAUUCAAGUUCAUCUUUGCCCUUCACAUGAUGCACCCUAUUCUCCAGAUCGUGGUAAAAGUGAGUAAGGCUCUUCAAGCUCCAGAUCUCAACUUACUUACUGCAAUGACGGGUGAAAAGCUUGCGUAACUCUUUGGCUGCGAUGAGAAGUGGCCAGAAUAUUUUCAAUCUGUUUUCAAUGACAGUGUGAAAAUGUGUGUAGAGAAUGAUAUAUCGAUUCCCCCAGUUAAGAAGAGAAAAAUGUCCACUCAUUUUGAUGAUGCGUUUGAGUCCCAGCAUCACUUUGAUACAAAAGAGGAGCAGGAGAGAAUAUCUUCUUUUUACCCACUCCUAGACUCAGUGAUUACCGGCAUUGACCAGCGAUUUGAACAGGAGACUUGUAAAAUUGUGACUGCAAUGGGAAAACGGCUGAGCUUAGACAUUGGCAGGGAUGAUAUGAGAAUCCUUGCCAACAAAUUUAAAGUGUCCCUGGAUGAGUUGGAAGCUGAAGUUGGAUUGCUUCGGGGUUAUGACGGAUCUGUUCCUAAAGGUAGCACUACGAUCACCACCAGAGAGUGGCUUGAUUGGCUAAAGGAAUCGGAUCGGUCUUCCAUGUUCCAGGCCUUUUACAAAUCUAUUCAAUUCUUUGCAGUCUUACCUGUUACAAGCUGUUCAUGUGAAGGAGCCUUUUCAAAACUAGCACAUGUAAAAAACAAACUAAGAAGUACAAUGUCCCAACAGCACCUCGACUCACUCAUGAUUUUGUACAUUGAACAAGAAUUGGCUUCGUCAGUUAAUUACAAUGAUGUGAUUGAGGAAUUUAAGUCCAUAACACCUGGUGAGCAACGUCUCAUUCUCUAGGACAGGAAGAUGAAGAAACCUUAAUCUGUUUUGGACAAUUUGGGUUAGCUCAUUAUCUGGUUAAAGAUAAAGAUCAUGAAAAUUGACUAUCUUUUGUAUACGCCUAAUUAUCACGACAGCAAAAAAUUGGUAUUUUGUCUCAUUUUUUAAGUUUGUAUUUUUUAAGUAAAGUUUUUAGUUGUUAAUUUAAAAAAAAGUUUAGUUAAGUUUUAGUUUCUUUAGUUUGCUUGAUGAAUAAAAAUAAUGUCCUUUUA